GCGGAGACCAACCGUUGGUUGUGCCACUCUACAUGGUCUCCACGUACGUACGGAGAGGUCCGUACAUUCCCUACCCCCGAAAUCUCAGCAGCCGCCGUCGCAUUUGAACCGGCAAUUGUUUUUUUUUCGUUUGUUGUCAUUUUCGUUUUUAAUGGCGGCCUGCUGUCAUUUAAAAUGAAUAAAUAUAUUACUUUUAGAAAAGGGCCGACUGCUCGUGAAGAGAACGAUGGAAUUUAUAGAUUCGGCUGGGAAACUUGUCGAGAAAGCUUUUUUGCUUUUUUAGAUAAACUGACACGAGAGUUUGGUACCUUCUCAAACAGGCAUAAUUUCAAUCUAAUUAAUUGUAUCUGAGACUUUUUUACCAGAUUAUUUUACUAACAGGGAGCCCUCUUUUUGCCGUAGCAAAACUGUUCGCAACUGGUCUUGUAAAUCUGAACAGGGUAGAAGUUCUUUGGCGUCCUGUAACAAAUCACCUGCUGGAAGUCAUCAUCCACCCGCUUAACCACUUGAGAGAAUGGGGAAUAGAUGUCAUCACUACGUUAGUUAGAUCAGCAAUUCAAUAUGAAUAUUCUACCCCUUUAAAAGAAAACCAGAGAUUGCAGACGUUGUUAAUAUCGCCAUAAAAUGAGCUGUCUAGAACCAGUUUUGCAGACGUGUGGCAAAAGCAAGGUGAUUGUGGGCUCCAUUUGCUGUACAGCUCUGGUGACAUAAUCUCUUUUGGAUGGCCCUUGUUUCUUAAUAUCAUAGGAGCUAUCAACAAUUCUCAAGAGUAACAAUGAACAUGGCAUUCUUUGUCGUUGAGGCUAAUUUCUUAUUUUGCAUUGCUUGGAUUUUUCUUUAAAAUAACUGAAACAAUUUGUAUAGUUUAAUGUGUGUUGUGGACAAUAAAUGAUGCACUUUCAUUUCCAUAAA
Molecule: RNA transcript, 912 nt
Organism: Daphnia magna
Lineage: Eukaryota; Metazoa; Arthropoda; Branchiopoda; Diplostraca; Daphniidae
Gene name: protein MON2 homolog
Exons: 4
Source: RefSeq, a predicted model, not a curated record